Podarcis lilfordi (Lilford's wall lizard) is the source of this 69-nucleotide non-coding RNA. The record is from the annotation of a GenBank genome assembly. NCBI's taxonomy places the organism in Eukaryota, Metazoa, Chordata, Lepidosauria, Squamata, Lacertidae.
GGAUAGCUCCAUUGGUAAAGCUUGUGACUCUUAGUCUGAGGGUCAUGGGUUUGAGCCCCAUGUUGAGCA